RNAcentral lists this ribosomal RNA (253 nucleotides) under uncultured bacterium. RNAcentral's name for it is "partial 16S ribosomal RNA". It matches the Rfam family "Bacterial small subunit ribosomal RNA", at positions 524 to 776 of the family's 1533-position model. The record is from RNAcentral.
UACGUAGGUGGCAAGCGUUGUCCGGAUUUAUUGGGUUUAAAGGGUGCGUAGGCGGCCUAUUAAGUCAGUGGUGAAAUAUCUCAGCUUAACUGAGAGUGUGCCAAUGAUACUGAUGGGCUUGAGUACAGAUGAGGUAGGCGGAAUUGACGGUGUAGCGGUGAAAUGCUUAGAUAUCGUCAAGAACACCUAUAGCGAAGGCAGCUUACUAGGCUGUAACUGACGCUGAGGCACGAAAGUGUGGGGAUCAAACAGG